Molecule: long non-coding RNA, 699 nt
Organism: Armigeres subalbatus
Lineage: Eukaryota; Metazoa; Arthropoda; Insecta; Diptera; Culicidae
Exons: 3
Source: RefSeq, a predicted model, not a curated record
ACUGUCAGAUUUAAUUAUGGCAGCCGCCAUUAUGGUUAGCGUGGAAAGCUGGAUAUAAUGAAUUUGAAUGAUUUAUAGAUGGGAGGUUUUCGGAGGAAGAAAUAUUUCUAUGCUUUAAAUAAUACUUCGGAUGCCGCAACGGCAGAUCGCCACCGGUGAAGUUUGCUGUGGAACUACCAGGCGACAUAUAGCUGCAAAUCAAGGCUCCCUAUUUCCAUCAUCCGCCUCCACAUCAUCAUUCAUCGACACACAUCAUUCAUCAUCGCUAGCCGGUCAGCAAUAGUACGAGCUAAACCAACCCUCCACCGAAUCAUCCUGCACCAAUGCACCAUACGACAGAACCGGUUCCAGUACAGAAAUUGAAAAAUCUGUUUGAUCCUCGGUCCUAGUGAUGAAUGAUUUCCUGGAGCUGCUGCUGAGAUGAGCACCCAAAAGCGAAAUGCUUCAAAUUUAAAGAAAAUCCGUGCAAUUAUUGCUCUUGCACUACCUCCGCUAUUCGAAUUCCUGAAAAUCAGAAAUAUAAAAUUUCAUUACUACCGCCGCAGUUAAUUGGCAGAGUGGAGCCGGCCAGAAUACUCUUAUUGGUCCUCAACAGAUCCGAAGAAAAACAAUGAGAAGCCACCCAGCAGCCCACCCGAAGAAUGCAGUCCACUUUUGGAAUGCGGAAGUUUACCGGUUAUUAAAAUACACUGGGCAUUU